This is a small nucleolar RNA of Saccostrea echinata, 77 nucleotides long. RefSeq annotates it as small nucleolar RNA SNORD34. Lineage: Eukaryota; Metazoa; Mollusca; Bivalvia; Ostreida; Ostreidae. The record is from RefSeq and is a predicted model, not a curated record. The transcript has a single exon.
AGAUUUCAGUGAUGAUUUCAUUUCUUACCUACAUUGUCUGACAGAUGUGAUUAGAAUUUCUGAAAUCUGAAGAAUCU